UGUGUGUUAGUGGAAGCGUCUGGAAAGGCGCGCGAUACAGGGUGACAGCCCCGUACACAAAAAUGCACAUACUGUGAGCUCGAUGAGUAGGGCGGGACACGUGGUAUCCUGUCUGAAUAUGGGGGGACCAUCCUCCAAGGCUAAAUACUCCUGACUGACCGAUAGUGAACCAGUACCGUGAGGGAAAGGCGAAAAGAACCCCGGCGAGGGGAGUGAAAAAGAACCUGAAACCGUGUACGUACAAGCAGUGGGAGCCUCUUAAUGGGGUGACUGCGUACCUUUUGUAUAAUGGGUCAGCGACUUAUAUUCUGUAGCAAGGUUAACCGAAUAGGGGAGCCGAAGGGAAACCGAGUCUUAACUGGGCGUUAAGUUGCAGGGUAUAGACCCGAAACCCGGUGAUCUAGCCAUGGGCAGGUUGAAGGUUGGGUAACACUAACUGGAGGACCGAACCGACUAAUGUUGAAAAAUUAGCGGAUGACUUGUGGCUGGGGGUGAAAGGCCAAUCAAACCGGGAGAUAGCUGGUUCUCCCCGAAAGCUAUUUAGGUAGCGCCUCGUGAAUUCAUCUCCGGGGGUAGAGCACUGUUUCGGCAAGGGGGUCAUCCCGACUUACCAACCCGAUGCAAACUGCGAAUACCGGAGAAUGUUAUCACGGGAGACACACGGCGGGUGCUAACGUCCGUCGUGAAGAGGGAAACAACCCAGACCGCCAGCUAAGGUCCCAAAGUCAUGGUUAAGUGGGAAACGAUGUGGGAAGGCCCAGACAGCCAGGAUGUUGGCUUAGAAGCAGCCAUCAUUUAAAGAAAGCGUAAUAGCUCACUGGUCGAGUCGGCCUGCGCGGAAGAUGUAACGGGGCUAAACCAUG
This 863-nucleotide ribosomal RNA is filed under the name Escherichia coli. RNAcentral's name for it is "partial 23S ribosomal RNA". It matches the Rfam family "Bacterial large subunit ribosomal RNA", at positions 323 to 1191 of the family's 2925-position model. The record is from RNAcentral. Lineage: Bacteria; Pseudomonadati; Pseudomonadota; Gammaproteobacteria; Enterobacterales; Enterobacteriaceae.